CACCGGCACCUGUCUGUAAUUAGCCGUCUUAAUGAUGCGACUCACCUGUCGUCGGUGGGACGUAACAAACGUCUUCUUCCCCAAACAUGACCGGGCCGCUCCUCGCGGAGGACACGGCGACGGGCCGCAUUGGGCGAAGCACAGGUGUAAAUAAUAAAGGAUGGUGUCGGGAGUCCCCUCCUCAAACAGGCCAAGGAGACUCAACAUGUUGGCAGGGACCCUUCUGCUGACGAGAUGAGGGUGCUGGUAUGUGUUGCGGGGAGCUGGAGGGAGCUGGCGGGGGUCACUGGAGGAGGCUCUCGUGGGGAGUG
Scophthalmus maximus (turbot) is the source of this 311-nucleotide long non-coding RNA. RefSeq lists it as uncharacterized. The record is from RefSeq and is a predicted model, not a curated record. The transcript has 3 exons. NCBI's taxonomy places the organism in Eukaryota, Metazoa, Chordata, Actinopteri, Pleuronectiformes, Scophthalmidae.